Molecule: ribosomal RNA, 422 nt
Filed under: uncultured bacterium
Lineage: Bacteria
Description: partial 16S ribosomal RNA
Rfam family: Bacterial small subunit ribosomal RNA
Source: RNAcentral
AAUAUUGGACAAUGGGGGCAACGCUUAUCCCGCCAUGCCGCGGGUGUGAAGAAGGUCNNNGGAUUNUGAAGCACUUUAAGUCGNGAGNACGGGCUUUAGGCUAAUACCCUGAAGUUUUGACGUUACGAACAGAAUCAGCACCGGCUAACUCUGUCCCAGCAGCCGCGGUAAUACAGAGGGUGCAAGCGUUAAUCGGAAUUACUGGGCGUAAAGCGCGCGUAGGUGGUUCAGUAAGAUGGGUGUGAAAUCCCCGGGCUUAACCUGGGAACUGCUUUCAUAACUGCUGAGCUAGAGUACGGUAGAGGGUAGUGGAAUUUCCUGUGUAGCGGUGAAAUGCGUAGAUAUAGGAAGGAACACCAGUGGCGAAGGCGACUACCUGGACUGAUACUGACACUGAGGUGCGAAAGCGUGGGGAGCAAACA